UCUACCCUCUGUCUGGGAGGAAAUGGGUUCAGUCAGCCAGGAAGACACACCUCCCACUUUUGGUGGCAGCAGUGGGAUCCAAAGGAGACAUCUGAUGGCUUAGGGGAUGAGAAACACAGGCAUUGGUACCCGCAAAACCUUUGAGUUCUCCAUCUUUGUCACUGAUUCUGAGAGCCGUGGAGUCAGCUCCAGAGUUUCAGCCAGCAGCAGAAGCAGAGCUGUGGGCAGUGGUGGAGGUAGAGCUGGCUCCAGCUCCGUUGACACCACCCCCUCUAGCACUGGAGCCAGUGUCCCCUCUACCAGCAGUGUUGGAGCUGGAGCAAGGGCCAACAUGGGCUCCAGCAGGAGUGGGAGCUGCUGAGUUGGAGUCACCUGGACCAUCAUUUCUAGUGGGAAGUCCAUCUCCACCUGUGGCUAAGAAGUGUGAAAAGAAGCCCAACCUACGGCCUUCCCUCCUAAGCUGGUGGUGGAGCAGUUGACUGUGAUGGAUGCGGAGCUCUUCCAGAAGGUGGUGUCCUCUCCGUGUCUGGGCUCCACCUGGGGCAAGAGGAACAAGCCCGGCAAUGAGCACCAGACACCCAACGUCCAGGCCACCGUCGACCACGUCAGAAGGGUGGCCAGCUUCGUCAUCAUCCCCUGCCUCGGGGACCCGAGCAAGACAGCCCAGGACAGGGUGAGGGUGGUGGAGCGCUGGAUCCAGGUGGCCCAGGAGUUCGAGAUCCUGAAGAACUUCUUCUCGUCCUGCACUGUCAACUCUGCUCUGCAGAAAACCUUCACAAGCCACCUGAAGAACACACGGGGGAAGUUUCCCGCCAGGACCCUGCUGCUCCUUCUAUCUUCACCACAUCUCCAAGGGGCUGCAUCCUGCCUGCCCCAGGGAUGUGCGUGGCAGAGGAUUCCCAUGGCCCAGGUGGAAAAACAGGCUGCUCAUCCUCAGGAGGGGCCCUCCACGUUUGCUCCCCCAGAGAGCAACCCCCAGAGAGUGCAGGAGAAGCAGCAGCAGCGGCAGGGGAAUGGGAUCAACCUUGAGAAGAGGACUGAGGAGCAGCUGUGGCACUCCCUGCAGGGGAGAGGAAGGAGGUGGAAAUCAGAGACCUUCUGGGCAGAACAGUCCUUGGCUUCACCCGCUGUAUCUUACAUUGAGUGGAAGAGUUUGAUACCAGAGAAGUGGGAGACCCAUCCAAUUGGCGGGUGGGUUGAGGGGAGGAUGGCAUCAAGGAAAUCUUCCUGGAGGAGGGGCUGAUUAUUCCCAUUCUGAGAACUGGUAGAUCCUGGAUGGAACUGGAGUGAAGGAUGGUUUCCAGGACUGGUCCCCUGCCCCACUCCUCACCUCCAACAAGACCCCUGCAGCAUCCCCCACCCAGGCCCUGUCUGCAUCCUCUCCUUCCCUCUGGUCCCAGGAAUACCGAGUCAUGAGGGAGAUCCUGCUGCUCCAGGAGGCUGCAAAGAAUUACAAGCUAGAGCCCGAGGGAGCGAUUUGGGGCCUCGUUCCAGGACAUGGAGUUGCUCAACGAGAAUGAGAGGUGAGGCCGGGCAGGAGUUGGGUGAGGGCAGGGGUGGACUCUCCCUGUUGGCCAGUCCAGAGAGCCUGUCUCCAUGGUGCCCCACUCAUCCCCCGGCCUGAUUACAUGGUGAUCUCUGGGACACCCAGACUCCAGCUGCUGGGCAGGCAGUGGGGGGACCCCUGAGGUGUGGUUCCUGGUAGGCUCACAGGUGCCUCUCUGUCCUGUAGCUACACCUUGUCCUGCCAGCCAGAGCGCUAGACCUAGUUGGCCUGCAGAGUACGCAAGGCCAAGAAGAACCGGCCAUCAUCAAGGUCAGGGGGAGACUGAGAUCUCAAAAUUAUCAAGAAGCUGAAGCUCCCCAACUCCCGCUUCCUGGCGCCGAAUCCACCAUUCAUCACAGGGACAGACAAACAGAGGACACCUGCAGCUCCCCUAACUCAGCUAAACGCAGGCUGAUGGGAGGACGCCGAACUGCAAAGCCGCAGCUCCCCUCCCCCACCUAAAACCUUGUAAACUGUAAUCGUUAAUUGGCAGCAGUUGCCGUCCACACCCCAAGGCCAAAUUUCUGGUGAUGAGAGAAGAUUGGUUGAUGGAGCCCUAGAUCUCCCGUUGUAGAUAGAGAUGACAGCCGGCUUGGCGCCAGAAGACUGGGAUCACUCCUCCAACAAAUAAUCAGUCACCAAGGAUAUAUUAUUUCCCACAGACUUUCCUUUAAAAGCCUCAACUCCUAAUGCCUCAGGAGGACUGUGGAUUUUGGGGCAUGUGCCCACUACAGCCUCAUUUUGCUGGCAAAAUUAAACCACUUUUCUUUUCCUCGG
Molecule: RNA transcript, 2323 nt
Organism: Diceros bicornis minor
Lineage: Eukaryota; Metazoa; Chordata; Mammalia; Perissodactyla; Rhinocerotidae
Gene name: ral guanine nucleotide dissociation stimulator-like
Exons: 9
Source: RefSeq, a predicted model, not a curated record